UCGCCGGUUCGGUAUUUUCGAAAGAAGAAGGGAGGGGAAUCUUUGAUUCUCUAUUUCUUCGGACCCUUCAACAUAUUUUGAAAAUAUCGAACCAAAUCUGUCGGCCGAACAGAUCCGUUCCACCGUCUUUAUCUUCACCGACGACAUUUCCAACAUCGCCGGUUUAAUAUUUUCGAAAGAAGAUGGGAGGGGAAUCAAAGAUUCCCCGUUUCUUCGGACCCUUCAAUCCCUUUUGAAAAUAUUGAACCAAAUUCGCCGACCGAACAGAUCCGGACUACCGUCAUCAUCUUCGCCGCCGUCAUCUCCAACCUUAUCGGUUUGGUGCUUUCGAAAGAAGAGGGGAGGGGAAUCAAAGAUUCCCUGUUUCUUCGGACCCUUCAAUCUCUUUCGAGAACAUUGAAUCAAUCCACAAAACACUCAAACCGUUUCAGAUUCAAUCCAAAUCAUAAAUCAAACGGGGAUUUCUUCGGACCCCAAAUCAAAUCUAAUUGGAAAAUCAAACGGGGAUUUCUUCGGACCUCAAAUCAAGAUCAAGCAGGGAUUUCUUCGGACCCCAAAUCAAAAUCAAAACGGGAAUUUCUUCGGACCCCAAAUCAAGAUCAAGCGGGAAUUUUUUCAGACCCCAAAUCGAAAUCAAAACGGGAAUUUCUUCGGACCCCAAAUCAGAUCUAAUUGAAAAAUCAAAAAGGGAUUUCUUCGGACCCGAAAUCCAAAUC
This 716-nucleotide long non-coding RNA is filed under the name Ananas comosus (pineapple). RNAcentral's name for it is "long non-coding RNA (ACOM_LNC000608)". Lineage: Eukaryota; Viridiplantae; Streptophyta; Magnoliopsida; Poales; Bromeliaceae. The record is from RNAcentral.